This 468-nucleotide ribosomal RNA is filed under the name uncultured bacterium. RNAcentral's name for it is "partial 16S ribosomal RNA". It matches the Rfam family "Bacterial small subunit ribosomal RNA", at positions 28 to 507 of the family's 1533-position model. The record is from RNAcentral.
GACGAACGUUGGCGGCGUGCUUAACACAUGCAAGUCGAACGGAAAGGCCCUGCUUUUGUGGGGUGCUCGAGUGGCGAACGGGUGAGUAACACGUGAGUAACCUGCCCUUGACUUUGGGAUAACUUCAGGAAACUGGGGCUAAUACCGGAUAGGAGCUCCUGCUGCAUGGUGGGGGUUGGAAAGUUUCGGCGGUUGGGGAUGGACUCGCGGCUUAUCAGCUUGUUGGUGGGGUAGUGGCUUACCAAGGCUUUGACGGGUAGCCGGCCUGAGAGGGUGACCGGCCACAUUGGGACUGAGAUACGGCCCAGACUCCUACGGGAGGCAGCAGUGGGGAAUAUUGCACAAUGGGCGGAAGCCUGAUGCAGCAACGCCGCGUGCGGGAUGACGGUCUUCGGGUUGUAAACCGCUUUCGCCUGUGACGAAGCGUGAGUGACGGUAAUGGGUAAAGAAGCACCGGCUAACUACGUG